RNAcentral lists this ribosomal RNA (229 nucleotides) under uncultured Acanthamoeba. Its description in RNAcentral is "partial 18S ribosomal RNA". It matches the Rfam family "Eukaryotic small subunit ribosomal RNA", at positions 97 to 279 of the family's 1831-position model. The record is from RNAcentral. Lineage: Eukaryota; Discosea; Longamoebia; Acanthamoebidae.
CUCAUUAAAUCAGUUAUAGUUUAUUUGAUGGUCUCUUUUGUCUUUUUUACCUACUUGGAUAACCGUGGUAAUUCUAGAGCUAAUACAUGCGCAAGGUCCCGAGCGCGGGGGGCGAGGGCUUCACGGCCCUGUCCUCGCAUGCGCAGAGGGAUGUAUUUAUUAGGUUAAACAACCAGCAUUUUAACAAUCAUCUGGUGAUUCAUAGUAACUCUUUCGGAUCGCAUUCAUG